Molecule: ribosomal RNA, 506 nt
Filed under: uncultured bacterium
Lineage: Bacteria
Description: partial 16S ribosomal RNA
Rfam family: Bacterial small subunit ribosomal RNA
Source: RNAcentral
AGUGAACGCUGGCGGUAGGCCUAACACAUGCAAGUCGAACGGCAGCACAGGAGAGCUUGCUCUCUGGGUGGCGAGUGGCGGACGGGUGAGGAAUACAUCGGAAUCUACUCUGUCGUGGGGGAUAACGUAGGGAAACUUACGCUAAUACCGCAUACGACCUACGGGUGAAAGCAGGGGAUCUUCGGACCUUGCGCGAUUGAAUGAGCCGAUGUCGGAUUAGCUAGUUGGCGGGGUAAAGGCCCACCAAGGCGACGAUCCGUAGCUGGUCUGAGAGGAUGAGCAGCCAAACUGGAACUGAGACACGGUCCAGACUCCUACGGGAGGCAGCAGUGGGGAAUAUUGGACAAGGGGCGCAAGCCUGAUCCAGCCAUACCGCGUGGGUGAAGAAGGCCUUCGGGUUGUGAAGCCCUUUUGUUGGGAAAGAAAUCCAGCUGGCUAAUAACCGGUUGGGAUGACGGUACCCAAAGAAUAAGCACCGGCUAACUUCGUGCCAGCAGCCGCAGUAA